UGUUCAGCUGGUUGAGAGCGUCCCGCCUCACAGGCGGGAAGGUCACUGGUCGGAUCCAGUAGGUCCCA
RNAcentral lists this transfer RNA (68 nucleotides) under Flavobacteriales bacterium. RNAcentral's name for it is "tRNA-Val". The record is from RNAcentral. Lineage: Bacteria; Pseudomonadati; Bacteroidota; Flavobacteriia; Flavobacteriales.